This is a non-coding RNA of Rattus norvegicus (Norway rat), 72 nucleotides long. The record is from Rfam. Lineage: Eukaryota; Metazoa; Chordata; Mammalia; Rodentia; Muridae.
GGGGGUGUGGCUCAGUGGUAGAGUGCUUGCCUGGCAUUUAUGAAGCCCUGGGUUCCAUCCCCAGCACUACAU